UCGCACAGCUGGUUUCCAAAAUAACAAAAAUCACAUUUUCUGAAAAACAAAUUCAAUUAUGUUAAUUCAAGCAUUAAAAUCUUAAGUAAAACGAUACACACUCAUGACGGAUAUUGGUGAUGUCAAUUGCAGUACGAGCCCAAAGCGGCAGAAUUCUAGACUUGUGGUGCGUGCGUCCACGUUUCGACUGGCGAGGUCUCCUCCUGCUGGAAAAGUUUUAUGGCACGUGGAUCGGUAGCACUCGCACCAAGCCGGAAAGGUCCAAGGAGCUGUAAGCAUGAAGAAUUUUAUCCACGGGGACAUGUGUCGUCUUUGAGCCUGUCUGCCGCAGUACUUUCUGCGAAUCGCUUUCAAUCGAGCUGCUGCACUGCUCGUGGAUGAAAUGGCAACGAAAUACAAUACUCAACGCUCCAGGGACAUCUGUCUCCAUAUAUUGACCCGGGUCAUUCGUCUGAAUGAGCCAGAAUAGUUGGCUUGCGCCGACUGUGGCUGGCCAAGUUGGUCACCAGGGCAAUUACAGCACUUUAGUAUCUGUUUGGACAGGCGAUUGGGUGAAAAGAAAAUCGAAAAGGUUUUCGACAUCAUGGUGCGUUGCAGCACUACAAUACACAGAUGGCCGCCUCAAACGGCAGCAACAACAGCCAUAAGCAGGAGUGGGCCACUCCACGCGACAAUAGAAGCGGCAGCGGAUAUCCAGAAAACGAAGGCAACAACCAUUGGAACAGUUCUCAGCAAGAUAGACGUCGCAAUUCCGGAAAAAACAACAAAAAAUGUACUAUGGAACUACGAUUUGGUGCAUACCUUUAAUGACUUGAGAUUUAAAAGAAACGCCGAGUUUCAUAGCAGCCAGCUCUAGACACGAUGAAAAAACAUAAAAACCAGCUACCUUCUGCUGAUUUAUGUUAGCCUAGUACUCGGUCCGAAAAUUUCCAUUGAGCGAAGCAAUUUGAAAGGUUGUUUGUUGUACAACAAACACAGCACACAGCACACAUUUUUGUUAUAUUGCUUUCUCCUUCAUUUGGUGACCGAUCAGGACAUGAAACACCUCCUCGUGAUCAGGCGAAUGUCCUUUAUCGUUUUCAAUCCUUUCGGAUGUAAGGACUUUAAGGAUAAUGGCAUUUUAGGGAUAUUUUUAAAUGGAAUCCCCAUAACGCCAUAGCUUGGCUGUGUCCUGUCGGAGCAGGACAUGCCACACCUCCUCGUGAUCGGGACAAAGUCCCGGUCCGAUUACAAUCACUUCGGAUGGAAGGAUAAUGGAUGUUUAAGGAUGUUUUUAAGCUAGAAUCUAUACAACGCUAUAACUCGGCUGUUUCCUGUCAGAUCAUGACAUGCCAUGCCUCCUUGGGAGCGGAACUGUCUCCUCUAUCCUUUGAGCCCAAAGGGUCUCAAAGACUGCAGGAUAUGGCUGUUUUACGCAUUUUUGUAAGAAGUUUCGUGUUAGCCCCCAAAAGAUACUUCAAAAUAUGAUAACUGUAUUGAGCACCCCGAAA
This is a long non-coding RNA of Drosophila guanche, 1490 nucleotides long. RefSeq lists it as uncharacterized. The record is from RefSeq and is a predicted model, not a curated record. Lineage: Eukaryota; Metazoa; Arthropoda; Insecta; Diptera; Drosophilidae. The transcript is spliced from 4 exons.